Molecule: ribosomal RNA, 396 nt
Filed under: uncultured bacterium
Lineage: Bacteria
Description: partial 16S ribosomal RNA
Rfam family: Bacterial small subunit ribosomal RNA
Source: RNAcentral
AUACGUAGGGAGCGAGCGUUGUCCGGAAUUACUGGGUGUAAAGGGAGCGUAGGCGGGAGUGCAAGUCAGAUGUGAAAUACAUGGGCUCAACCCAUGGGCUGCAUUUGAAACUGCAUUUCUUGAGUGAAGUAGAGGUAAGCGGAAUUCCUGGGGGAGCGGUGAAAUGCGUAGAUAUCAGGAGGAACACCGGUGGCGAAGGCGGCUUACUGGGCUUUUACUGACGCUGAGGCUCGAAAGCGUGGGGAGCAAACAGGAUUAGAUACCCUGGUAGUCCACGCUGUAAACGAUGAUUACUAGGUGUGGGGGGACUGACCCCUUCCGUGCCGCAGUUAACACAAUAAGUAAUCCACCUGGGGAGUACGGCCGCAAGGUUGAAACUCAAAUGAAUUGACGGGG